This 253-nucleotide ribosomal RNA is filed under the name uncultured bacterium. RNAcentral's name for it is "partial 16S ribosomal RNA". It matches the Rfam family "Bacterial small subunit ribosomal RNA", at positions 524 to 776 of the family's 1533-position model. The record is from RNAcentral.
UACGGGGGGGGUAAGCGUUGUUCGGAAUUACUGGGCGUAAAGGGCUCGUAGGCGGCCAACUAAGUCAGACGUGAAAUCCCUCAGCUUAACUGGGGAACUGCGUCUGAUACUGGAUGGCUUGGAUCCGGGAGAGGGAUGCGGAAUUCCAGGUGUAGCGGUGAAAUGCGUAGAUAUCUGGAGGAACACCGGUGGCGAAGGCGGCAUCCUGGACCGGUAUUGACGCUGAGACGCGAAAGCGUGGGGAGCAAACAGG